GGGGUGGUGGCUCAGUGGGAGAGCAUCUGUCUGGGAUCUUGGAAAGUCCCGGGUUCAAUUCCUGACAUCUCUA
RNAcentral lists this transfer RNA (73 nucleotides) under Sphaerodactylus townsendi. RNAcentral describes it as "tRNA-Pro". It matches the Rfam family "tRNA". From Rfam's summary of the family: Transfer RNA (tRNA) molecules are approximately 80 nucleotides in length. Lineage: Eukaryota; Metazoa; Chordata; Lepidosauria; Squamata; Sphaerodactylidae. The record is from RNAcentral.